Molecule: ribosomal RNA, 212 nt
Filed under: uncultured bacterium
Lineage: Bacteria
Description: partial 16S ribosomal RNA
Rfam family: Bacterial small subunit ribosomal RNA
Source: RNAcentral
CAGUUCGGAUCGCAGGCUGNAACCCGCCUGCGUGAAGUUGGAAUCGCUAGUAAUCGCGGAUCAGCAUGCCGCGGUGAAUACGUUCCCGGGCCUUGUACACACCGCCCGUCACACCAUGAGAGUCGGGAACACCCGAAGUCCGUAGCCUAACCGCAAGGGGGGCGCGGCCGAAGGUGGGUUCGAUAAUUGGGGUGAAGUCGUAACAAGGUAAC